UAGAUAGAAAAAUGGGGCAUGCAGGGAUUGAAAUUCAUUGCCUUGGGUCUGAGGGGUUGGACAACCCAGAAGAUCUGUUUUGCCUGCAUUGUCUGUUUCUUCUCCAAAGACAGUGGGACCUGUUUUGGAGUUGUUCCACAAUCAGCAAUCACCUCUCCUGCAAAAAAGGAAACAUCUAAUAGCAUUUCCUCCAGUGAACUCCAAUAAAAGGGGGCAAGGAAUAACAGAGCGUUUUGGAGCACUGCAAACAGCUGAUUCGUGGCAUUCAAGCUUUGUGAAGGAGGGGGAGGUCAGUGACUGGACCCCAGGCAGAGGGACGGUGGCUGGGACCCUCCCGCACCCCUUCUUCCGGCACCUGUGGAGACCUACUGGCAUUCUGCAUUGACUUCCCAUGGUUCGGCAAAUUCUCUGGUUCAGCACCGGUCAGGUCCUGAGGAUGCAGACUAGAGAAGUUCAAACUCUUAAUGAGUAUAUAACCUCUUGUAAUUUACAAGUUAAGAUCUUGCUUUGACAACACAUGGAUCAAUUAUAUCCUCCCGGAUUUAGUUUUGACAUGUUAAUGUUCGAAUCAAAAGAGGCAAGUGUGAAUAACUUAACUGUUUAUAUUGGCUAAAACUGAACUCACAUAG
Long non-coding RNA from Mauremys reevesii (Reeves's turtle), 629 nucleotides. RefSeq lists it as uncharacterized. Lineage: Eukaryota; Metazoa; Chordata; Testudines; Geoemydidae. The record is from RefSeq and is a predicted model, not a curated record. The transcript has 3 exons.